RNAcentral lists this ribosomal RNA (408 nucleotides) under uncultured bacterium. Its description in RNAcentral is "partial 16S ribosomal RNA". It matches the Rfam family "Bacterial small subunit ribosomal RNA", at positions 28 to 526 of the family's 1533-position model. The record is from RNAcentral.
GACGAACGCUGGCGGCGUGCUUAACACAUGCAAGUCGAACGAAGUGGCGUACGGGUGAGUAACGCUUAAUCAACCUGCCCUUCAGAGGGGGACAACAGUUGGAAACGACUGCUAAUACCGCAUACUGACGUCGUGGAUUGCGUCUGAUUAGCUAGUUGGAGGGGUAACGACCCACCAAGGCGAUGAUCAGUAGCCGGUCUGAGAGGAUGAAGGGCCACAUUGGGACUGGGAAACGGCCCAGACUCCUUCGGGAGGCAGCAGUGGGGAAUCUUCCGAAAUGGACGAAAGUCUGACGGAGCAACGCGGAGUGAGUGAGGACGGCCUUCGGGUUGUAAAGCUCUGUUAAGCGGGAAGAGGGACCGGAAUAGAAAGCCACGGCUAACUCCGUGCCAGCAGCCGCGGAAAUUC